RNAcentral lists this ribosomal RNA (520 nucleotides) under Physarum nivale. RNAcentral describes it as "SSU rRNA". It matches the Rfam family "Eukaryotic small subunit ribosomal RNA", at positions 60 to 536 of the family's 1831-position model. The record is from RNAcentral. Lineage: Eukaryota; Evosea; Eumycetozoa; Physariida; Physaraceae.
GAAGAGCAAAUCUCUCUGAAUCUGCGAACGGCUCCGCAAACCAGUUGUAAACCAUAGCAAGCAUGCUCCAGGAAAGCCGCAAGGCAGCCCUGGGGCUACAAGGAUAACCCCGGUAAUUCUGAGGCUAAUACAUGAACGUAACCCCUGGUCGAUGGGCAACCUGAGGCCGGGGACCGUGCGAGACCUCGCAAAAAUUUAUCGGAAAAGUCGCAUCGUAAGACCGCCAUACCAAACAGUCCUUUUCUGUCGCCCUCACGGGAGGCCGGAUCGUUCUGGGCGGCUCUUGCAAGGUGCUUCUGACCUAUCAACUAGAUGGCAGCGUAAGGGACAUGCUAUGGUGACAACGGGUACAGAGGAUAAGGGUUCGAUCCUGGAGAGUGGGCCUGAGAGAUUGCUCACACUUCUAAGGAAGGCAGCAGGCGCGCAACGUUCCCCUUGGGCAAUGCCCGAGGGCGUUAGGGGACAUAUGAAUGCCUGCCAUUUGGUGGGCAAUUCAAAUGGGUCUGUUCUAAACAGCCUC